GAUGAACGCUGGCGGCGUGCCUAAUACAUGCAAGUCGAGCGAACGGACGAGAAGCUGGCUUCUCUGAUGUUAGAGGCGGACGGGUGAGUAACACGUGGAUAACCUGCCUAUAAGAUUGGGAUAACUUCGUGAAACCGGAGCUAAUACCGGAUAAUAUUUUGAACCGCAGGGUUGAAAAGUUAAAGACGGUCUGGCUGGCACUGAUACAUGUAUCCGCGCUGCAUUCGCUAGUUGGUAAGGUAACGGCUUACCAAGGCAACGAUGCAAAGCCGACCUGAGAGGGUGAUCGGCCACACUGGAACUGAGACACGGUCCAGACUCCUACGGGAGGCAGCAGUAGGGAAUCUUCCGCAAUGGGCGAAAGCCUGACGGAGCAACGCCGCGUGAGUGAUGAAGGUCUUCGGAUCGUAAAACUCUGUUAUUAGGGAAGAACAUAUGUGUAAGUAACUGUGCACAUCUUGACGGUACCUAAUCAGAAAGCCACGGCUAACUACGUG
Molecule: ribosomal RNA, 497 nt
Filed under: uncultured bacterium
Lineage: Bacteria
Description: partial 16S ribosomal RNA
Rfam family: Bacterial small subunit ribosomal RNA
Source: RNAcentral